RNAcentral lists this ribosomal RNA (262 nucleotides) under uncultured bacterium. RNAcentral describes it as "partial 16S ribosomal RNA". It matches the Rfam family "Bacterial small subunit ribosomal RNA", at positions 793 to 1055 of the family's 1533-position model. The record is from RNAcentral.
GUCCACGCCGUAAACGAUGUCAACUAGCCGUUGGAAUCCUUGAGAUUUUAGUGGCGCAGCUAACGCAUUAAGUUGACCGCCUGGGGAGUACGGCCGCAAGGUUAAAACUCAAAUGAAUUGACGGGGCCCGCACAAGCGGUGGAGCAUGUGGUUUAAUUCGAAGCAACGCGAAGAACCUUACCAGGCCUUGACAUCCAAUGAACUUUCCAGAGAUGGAUUGGUGCCUUCGGGAACAUUGAGACAGGUGCUGCAUGGCUGUCGU